AGCAUGUUAGCUCAGGGGAAGAGCGCCGGGCUCAUAACCCGGAGGUACGUUUCACCGCAACCAAAUUGACCCACAAACAUCCAACUAACAACUACAACAGGACCCUGGAUCGAAACCAGGACAUGCUA
This is a non-coding RNA of Penicillium camemberti, 128 nucleotides long. The record is from Rfam. Lineage: Eukaryota; Fungi; Ascomycota; Eurotiomycetes; Eurotiales; Aspergillaceae.